CAAGUCGUCAAACUGAAGAAGAAAUAAUGUUUGCAAGUCGUGGUUGCAGUUUGUUUGUGCAGCCAUCACACGUUCAACUGGAUUGAUGCAAGACCAUAACGCCACAAAAAAUGUCACCAGACAGAUAAAUCAUUUUGACAUGACAGGUGAGAGGGAUUGAGUUGUGUUUCGCUGCAGUGGAGGGGCGAGGCAAUCAGUCGUGAGUAAUGAAACAGCCCAACACUCUAACAAAGGUAAGUGAUGCUGCGCUGCCACGCUCUGCCCCAUCACGCUCAGGUGUUAAACACAGAGAGCCCUUUUUUGGUGCCAUUAGAGUUCAGGCAUCCGGUUGUAUUUUACUGCUUGGAACGCUUCUCUAAAGAAGAUGAACAGGGAAUGGCACAAGUUGAAUUUGACGCCCUAGAAAGAGUAAAAAAUAGACUUCAAAGAAAUGAGCAAAGAGUACAUUUUAGAUGAGGCUCUAGAAAUAUGGACAUAUAUUUCAGUUAGAAGCUAUUUUUAAUGAGCAAGGGGCCACAAAAUCAAACCUUUUUUUUUUUUUAUUCAGUGAUGAAGGUGGAGACAGCUGUGAACGGGAGGUAAAUUAAAGAACAGCCUGCAUAUGGCCCCCUGAGUAGAUGACCAAUCAAAAAGCACAAUUCUGAAGGCAGGGCUCAUCUCAAACAGUGUGACACAGACAUGAGAGGUUCAGGUCAUUAAUUUAUUCUGGAUGCAUGUUUUGAACAUACCCCAAAAGAGUCCCACUCGAAAUUCUAACAUUUACCCCAAACGUUGGAAGUCCACACCCCUACCAUUGAAAGUGGGCUACACAAAAUCUGUCAAUCAAACAUUCAAUGUGAGACCACAAACUUCAAUUGAAGCAUCUGAUUGGUGGUUUUUAAAAAAAACAUUGCACUAUAUAAAAAAUAUCAUGAAAGAAAUGGCAAGAACAUUUAAAAAAAAAAAAGGGAAAUAGAACAAGAAUGGGGAUUCUGACCAAUAGAUGGACUAAGUAACAGCUGUGUAUUUCUCUGUAGAAGUCUAUGGGAUUUUGGCUUCUUGGAACGCUUAGUCAAGAUCUCGUGUAUUGAAUUGUCUGAACACUAUAAAUAAAAGUCCACUCAUUUGCUUUGAUUGGCAGGUGGGUGAACCUUAUUCUGCCCCACCCCCUCUUUAAACCAAAGACUUGAUUGUAGUGAACCUCAGCUCAUUUGGUCACAUCACCUCAGGUUUUAUUUUUGCCAGUGGAUGAUUUUAGAGUUUAUUACUCCAGUUGAAUUUUUUUUUUUAAUUAACUGUCUAUUCUUAAAUUUUUUAAAUAACAGGUAGUCAGGAAAACCAGACUGCUGAGAAACUUUGUGCGAAACUUUCAUUAACCUUCUUGCAGUUUACGAUUGGAAAAUAGAAAGCUGACACUCCUCCUUUCAUCCUGUGACAGUGCAUCCUGACUCUCAUUUCUCCUCUGCCAAUCAGCACCUCGGAUGCUCUUCUUUGAAGCUGUCACAGAAAUUGGUUCAGCUCUCCUCUAAACUUCUCCACCGCAGGCCCAUUUUCCUGCUGCUUUUCAUUCUAUUUUCCUCUUUCAUUAACCUAAUCAAUCAAUGUCUGCUUUCUCUCCACCCUUCCCCUUCACCGGUCCUCUGGCCCAUUCCAAAGGGGAGCGUUCUGAAGGUGAGUCAGUGGAUUAGCGCCCAGCUGAUGUACUGUCCUCUUCCGGAUUCAACCUCUGCUGCGUCCCACCGGAUCCCACCAGCAGCUGCUUAAAGUCAGGCGGCGUGGAGUUCCAGAAAAGGGCUGCAUGGAGGCUGUUGUGAUACGUUCACAUGUGAAGGUCAUUGAGACACUCCUCAUUUCUGCAGCAGAACUAGUCCCACGUUCAAUUCUCACUUCAGCUCAAAAAAAAAGACAAAACAUCCCACAAAGGUCAUUUAAUGAAAAUUUCCUCUUAUUUUUACUCGUCUUUAUAGUUUUACUCUUAAGACAAAUUGGUAAUUUUUCAAUGAUAUGCCUGAUUUUUUUCCUGCAGGUUUAUUUGUUUUAUGUGGCGAUUUAAAGGACAGAAAUACAAAAAGCUGAGGAAGUGUAAUAAAACUGAAGGGAAAUUUGAAAGAAAAACACUUGGAAGCCUUGACACAA
Non-coding RNA from Oryzias latipes (Japanese medaka), 2115 nucleotides. NCBI's taxonomy places the organism in Eukaryota, Metazoa, Chordata, Actinopteri, Beloniformes, Adrianichthyidae. The record is from RefSeq and is a predicted model, not a curated record.